Non-coding RNA from Saitozyma sp. JCM 24511, 80 nucleotides. NCBI's taxonomy places the organism in Eukaryota, Fungi, Basidiomycota, Tremellomycetes, Tremellales, Trimorphomycetaceae. The record is from the annotation of a GenBank genome assembly.
AACGCUGUAACUCAGCUGGGAGAGUGACGGGCUCAUAUUCUGACACCCGUAUGUCCCUGGAUCGAAACCAGGCGGCGUUA